This 1241-nucleotide ribosomal RNA is filed under the name uncultured Shigella sp. Its description in RNAcentral is "bacterial SSU rRNA". It matches the Rfam family "Bacterial small subunit ribosomal RNA", at positions 207 to 1423 of the family's 1533-position model. Lineage: Bacteria; Pseudomonadati; Pseudomonadota; Gammaproteobacteria; Enterobacterales; Enterobacteriaceae. The record is from RNAcentral.
GGACCUUCGGGCCUCUUGCCAUCGGAUGUGCCCAGAUGGGAUUAGCUUGUUGGUGGGGUAACGGCUCACCAAGGCGACGAUCCCUAGCUGGUCUGAGAGGAUGACCAGCCACACUGGAACUGAGACACGGUCCAGACUCCUACGGGAGGCAGCAGUGGGGAAUAUUGCACAAUGGGCGCAAGCCUGAUGCAGCCAUGCCGCGUGUAUGAAGAAGGCCUUCGGGUUGUAAAGUACUUUCAGCGGGGAGGAAGGGAGUAAAGUUAAUACCUUUGCUCAUUGACGUUACCCGCAGAAGAAGCACCGGCUAACUCCGUGCCAGCAGCCGCGGUAAUACGGAGGGUGCAAGCGUUAAUCGGAAUUACUGGGCGUAAAGCGCACGCAGGCGGUUUGUUAAGUCAGAUGUGAAAUCCCCGGGCUCAACCUGGGAACUGCAUCUGAUACUGGCAAGCUUGAGUCUCGUAGAGGGGGGUAGAAUUCCAGGUGUAGCGGUGAAAUGCGUAGAGAUCUGNGAGGAAUACCGGUGGCGAAGGCGGCCCCCUGGACGAAGACUGACGCUCAGGUGCGAAAGCGUGGGGAGCAAACAGGGUUAGAUACCCUGGUAGUCCACGCCGUAAACGAUGUCGACUUGGAGGUUGUGCCCUUGAGGCGUGGCUUCCGGAGCUAACGCGUUAAGUCGACCGCCUNGNGNNGNGANGUNACNGGCCGCAAGGUNUNAAAACUCAAAUGAAUUGACGGGGGCCCGCACAAGCGGUGGAGCAUGUGGUUUAAUUCGAUGCAACGCGAAGAACCUUACCUGGUCUUGACAUCCACGGAAGUUUUCAGAGAUGAGAAUGUGCCUUCGGGAACCGUGAGACAGGUGCUGCAUGGCUGUCGUCAGCUCGUGUUGUGAAAUGUUGGGUUAAGUCCCGCAACGAGCGCAACCCUUAUCCUUUGUUGCCAGCGGUCCGGCCGGGAACUCAAAGGAGACUGCCAGUGAUAAACUGGAGGAAGGUGGGGAUGACGUCAAGUCAUCAUGGCCCUUACGACCAGGGCUACACACGUGCUACAAUGGCGCAUACAAAGAGAAGCGACCUCGCGAGAGCAAGCGGACCUCAUAAAGUGCGUCGUAGUCCGGAUUGGAGUCUGCAACUCGACUCCAUGAAGUCGGAAUCGCUAGUAAUCGUGGAUCAGAAUGCCACGGUGAAUACGUUCCCGGGCCUUGUACACACCGCCCGUCACACCAUGGGAGUGGGUUGCAAAAG